GCCGCAUUAGCUCAGUUGGUAGAGCACAUCAUUCGUAAUGAUGGGGUCGUUGGUUCGAGUCCGACAUGCGGCACCA
RNAcentral lists this transfer RNA (76 nucleotides) under Bauldia sp. RNAcentral describes it as "tRNA-Thr". It matches the Rfam family "tRNA". From Rfam's summary of the family: Transfer RNA (tRNA) molecules are approximately 80 nucleotides in length. Their secondary structure includes four short double-helical elements and three loops (D, anti-codon, and T loops). Lineage: Bacteria; Pseudomonadati; Pseudomonadota; Alphaproteobacteria; Hyphomicrobiales; Kaistiaceae. RNAcentral also lists the same sequence under 3 other names. The record is from RNAcentral.